Molecule: ribosomal RNA, 497 nt
Filed under: uncultured bacterium
Lineage: Bacteria
Description: partial 16S ribosomal RNA
Rfam family: Bacterial small subunit ribosomal RNA
Source: RNAcentral
GACGAACGCUGGCGGCGUGCCUAAUACAUGCAAGUUGAGCGCUGAAGGUUGGUACUUGUACCAACUGGAUGAGCAGCGAACGGGUGAGUAACGCGUGGGGAAUCUGCCUUUGAGCGGGGGACAACAUUUGGAAACGAAUGCUAAUACCGCAUAAAAACUUUAAACACAAGUUUUAAGUUUGAAAGAUGCAAUUGCAUCACUCAAAGAUGAUCCCGCGUUGUAUUAGCUAGUUGGUGAGGUAAAGGCUCACCAAGGCGAUGAUACAUAGCCGACCUGAGAGGGUGAUCGGCCACAUUGGGACUGAGACACGGCCCAAACUCCUACGGGAGGCAGCAGUAGGGAAUCUUCGGCCAUGGACGAAAGUCUGACCGGGCAACGCCGCGUGAGUGAAGAAGGUUUUCGGAUCGUAAAACUCUGUUGGUAGAGAAGAACGUUGGUGGGAGUGGAAAGCUCAUCAAGUGACGGUAACUACCCAGAAAGGGACGGCUAACUACGUG